GCCGGGCGUGGUGGCGCACGCCUGUAAUCCCAGCACUUUGGGAGGCAGAGGUGGGUGGAUCACCUGAGGUGAGGAAUUUGAGGCCAGCCUGGCCAACAUGGUGAAACCUCAUCUCUA
RNAcentral lists this non-coding RNA (117 nucleotides) under Gorilla gorilla gorilla (western lowland gorilla). Lineage: Eukaryota; Metazoa; Chordata; Mammalia; Primates; Hominidae. The record is from Rfam by way of RNAcentral.